Molecule: ribosomal RNA, 411 nt
Filed under: Triticum aestivum (bread wheat)
Lineage: Eukaryota; Viridiplantae; Streptophyta; Magnoliopsida; Poales; Poaceae
Description: partial small subunit ribosomal RNA
Source: RNAcentral
AUGGCUCGUACUAAGCAGACCGCUCGUAAGUCCACUGGAGGAAAGGCUCCAAGGAAGCAGCUAGCCACCAAGGCUGCCCGUAAGUCUGCUCCCACUACUGGAGGAGUGAAGAAGCCUCACCGUUACCGCCCUGGAACUGUUGCUCUUCGUGAGAUCCGCAAGUACCAGAAGAGCACGGAGCUGCUCAUCAGGAAGCUUCCAUUCCAGAGGCUUGUUAGGGAGAUUGCCCAGGACUUCAAGACUGACCUCCGCUUCCAGAGCCAUGCGGUGCUGGCCCUUCAGGAGGCUGCAGAGGCCUACCUGGUGGGUCUCUUCGAGGACACCAACCUGUGCGCCAUCCAUGCCAAGCGGGUGACCAUCAUGCCCAAGGACAUUCAGCUGGCUAGGAGGAUCCGUGGCGAGAGGGCUUAA